GCCUGGGUGGCUCAGUCGGUUGAGCGGCCGACUUCAGCUCAGGUCAUGAUCUCGCAGUCCGUGGGUUCAAGCCCCGCAUCAGGCU
Molecule: transfer RNA, 85 nt
Filed under: Felis catus (domestic cat)
Lineage: Eukaryota; Metazoa; Chordata; Mammalia; Carnivora; Felidae
Also listed under: 1 other name
Rfam family: tRNA
About the family: Transfer RNA (tRNA) molecules are approximately 80 nucleotides in length. Their secondary structure includes four short double-helical elements and three loops (D, anti-codon, and T loops). Further hydrogen bonds mediate the characteristic L-shaped molecular structure. tRNAs have two regions of fundamental functional importance: the anti-codon, which is responsible for specific mRNA codon recognition, and the 3' end, to which the tRNAs corresponding amino acid is attached (by aminoacyl-tRNA synthetases). tRNAs cope with the degeneracy of the genetic code in two manners: having more than one tRNA (with a specific anti-codon) for a particular amino acid; and 'wobble' base-pairing, i.e. permitting non-standard base-pairing at the 3rd anti-codon position.
Source: Rfam by way of RNAcentral